Molecule: long non-coding RNA, 1442 nt
Organism: Cyprinus carpio carpio
Lineage: Eukaryota; Metazoa; Chordata; Actinopteri; Cypriniformes; Cyprinidae
Source: Ensembl
GUAUUGAAGGCACCAAUGAGUAUCGCGGGUCACCAGACACCAAGAUAGGUGGAUAAGCGGUUUUUGCCUUGUCUUCAGGACUGCUCAUGACAGUUGGUCUGGAAGGGCAAUGCUUCAGUCACGCACCAGACAUCAUCGCCAUGGAACAGCGGAUUGACACGCAGCCGUCUUUCCACCGUAAACCAUCUCUCAUACGGGCAACCCUCAUGUGCAAACAAACGAAUGACGCCUCUUUUUCAGUUCCGCUGCCGUUGGAUAACACAUUUUUAUGUUGCAAACAUGUGCUGUACGUACGUCUUCGCCAGUGUCUUCAAGGGCUAUUUGAUAGUUCAACGGACCCAGCUGCUUGAUAAUGCGAUGAUGAAGAUGAUGAACUACAUCAUACGAGGCAGCGUCUGGGGUUAGAUUAGGCCCAGAGAGUAUUUUGUCCAUUGGACUUUGGAGUUUCCUACCCAGCUGGAGUUCGGCUGGGGUUAAUCCAGUGGUCUCUUGAACGGCUGAAUUAAGGGCGAAUCUGAAUUCUGAUGAAACAAACUGAGUGCCUCUGUCUGAGAGAACGAAGUCUGGUACGCCCCAACGUGUCAGGAUGUCUUUUCUGAAGAUGGAGGCAAUAUUCUUCGCUGUGGCACUCCGAAUGGGAAACAACUCCACCCAUCGAGAAUAAUAAUCAACAAAGACCAGCAGGUCCUCACAUGCUGUUUCACCGCUGACCACAUGCCUGGCCAAAAUGCUACUUCCUGAAGUCGCUUAUAGGUCUUGUAGAUUCCUCCAUGGCCACAGAUGGGAGUGGAGUGAUAGUACUGGAGAAGGGUGGAUCUGAGACUGCUGGGAAUGUAGAUUCUGUAAUGCAGUUGGUUAUUUGUCAGGACAACAUCUGAUACAGGCAGUGCUGGGUCUUUUCCGCUGGUGUACAAGUUACAUCCUGGGGUAACCGAAGAUCUGGAUAGAGCAUCCGGAGCUACAUUUAGCUUCCCUUUUCGGUACUCAAUAACAAAAUCAAAUUUUUGCAAUCGCAGGACCCAACGAAUGAGGCGGCUGGUGGUUUUCGUGGAGUUCAUGACCCAUUGCAGUGCAGCAUGGUCGGUAACAACUGUAAAAAGCUUGUGCUCCAAGUAAUGUUGCCACUUUUCCAGGGCCCAGAUGACUGCAAGACAUUCCUUCUCCGUUGCAGUAUAAUUUAGUUCGGCCCCAGUUAAGGUUCGGCUUGCAUAGGCUAUAACCUCCUCUCUGCCUACCUCCCUCCGUUGUGCUAAUAUGGCACCCAGGCCGAUGUCGCUGGCAUCGGUGUAAACAAUGAAUGGCCGCUGAAGAUCGGGAUGGCCCAGAAUGGGAGUGUGUUGAGGGGUUCAGUAAUCUUGGAAAAAUUUGGAACGAAACGGUGAUACCACCCGGCUAACCCGAGGAACCGUUGAACUUCCUUCACGUUCGUAGGCACAGGAUAG